Brassica napus (rape) is the source of this 2931-nucleotide long non-coding RNA. RefSeq lists it as uncharacterized. The transcript is spliced from 2 exons. NCBI's taxonomy places the organism in Eukaryota, Viridiplantae, Streptophyta, Magnoliopsida, Brassicales, Brassicaceae. The record is from RefSeq and is a predicted model, not a curated record.
GAGCUGGAUCGGAACGCGUCUGAUCGGGAACGCGAGUUGUAGCUGUCCGGGAUGCAAGCCGAGAACAGAUGGAGCUGAAGCUGAGUUCGUCUAGUAUCAGGAACGCCUUAGGGUUGGGGCUGAUUGGAUGAACACGAGCUGGAACCCUUGCAAGAAAAGAUUAGGGUUCCAAAGCAAAUUGGUGCGCACUGUAUCGGUGCGUGAGGGCGCGUUAGUGGUUAGAUCGACAAACGGUUUGCACUGACUGAUUCGUCUCGGUAAGAGCUUCGAUUUGAUAUCUUGAUCGUUUUCUGGGUCCUUACAGUUUUGGAGAACGACCUCUUUGAAUUUAUGGGCAGAUUCCUCUUCGUUUAGGGUUUUUAGGGUUUUUAGUGAUUUUGGUUUUAGGCUCAGGGUGUUAGAGGUUAUCGUGCUGAUAACGUGUUGUAAAACGAAGGUUUGAAAACUAAAUGUUUUCUAUCUAUCAUUAAUGAAUAAGUGUUCUCUUAUAAAGGGGAUUACAAGAUAAGUAAAAAGGAAAGUAUCCAAAACAUAAACUCACUAGGAUUUGGAAAACUACUAAUACAUAAUAAUGGAAAGAUAACAAUUACAAGGAAAAAGAAAGAUGGUUUCAUUUUUUCCAAGCCGUCUCUCUCUCUCUCUCUCAAAGUCGUGGCCGACUCUCUCUCUAGAUGUAUGGGCCGGUUAUGGACAUCCACUAAUUGAUUUAUAACAAUUAUGACUUUCUUUCUUCACCAAACUCCAGCCACCAUCUUUAUUUGGAGCCAUCACCAUCAUUUCACCUUCUCCUCUCGCUGUUAAACACCGGAGUUCAUCAACGCUCACUAUCGCCACCACCAACCACCCCGACCGGAGCCACCGUUUCAAUCUGACCAGCCGUGAUCCUCAACCGUGAGUCACCGGGGAGGGCCAUGCACUUUUGUGGCUGAGAUCCGCAACUAUGAUUCCAAGCCGUGAAGGUUAAACCAAAGAUUAUAUGGAUUUCUUGUAUCGCAAGUUUCUUAAACCCUAGACUAAUUAUAUUUUAAUCAUAUCUCAUUGUUUUGUCUCUAUUCUUUUCCAAUCUAGUGUGUCGUUGACAAGAUCGAGAUCCAUGGCGAAACCCUAGUUUUAUGCUAGAGCUAUGCCUACAUGGUCUUAGGGCUAUGUACUGAGUCAGUGGUUUUCGGUUUAGCAUCCCUCAUGGAGUAACUCCCAUGUUACUCACCCCUCUUUCUUCCCCUUGCAGGUGAACAUGACGUGUAGUUGGAUAUGUGGACGGAUUGGUGUCUUGUGAUCGUUGUAUUUUAUUUCGGUUUUAAUUAACUUUUCGAUUUAAUGUAUUUGGUUUUAAAUUACAAACUUGUUUUAUUUGGAAAUUAUUUGAUUAAAAAGUUUAACAUUUUAUUCGGUUUUAUAAAUCGGUUUAAUUUGGUAUUUUUCGGUUAGUAGCACACCGUUUCCGAGAGAUGAUGAGACGGGUGUUACAAUUUGGUAUAAGAGCGGGGUUUUGUCCCGGCUCUGACCAGGGACGGCGAUUUAUGGGACUUGGAUUUCAGCGAUUUUCAAUGUUUGGGGAUUAGGAGUUUUUGGGGAAAAAAAAUGACACCGGUCUGUCCUAUAUCAUUCGAUUAGUUCUUACUGUUUCUAACUCUUUUAUUUUUAUAGGAGAAGACUAAAUUUCUAUUUGUUUCCAUUAUUUUCCCAUCUCUCGUUCUUCUUUUCAUUAGUGUCGUCGAAGUUCUUUUUGGGUUCCAUCUAGAAUUCGGGGCGAAUUCUGAUUACGUGGGGAAGAAUUAUAACGACCGUAACCCGGUAACGUAUUAAAUAAUAGUUUGGUUUGAUUUAAUAUUAAUUCUUGUUUUCAAACCGUUCCUAAACCAAUUGUUUUGAUUUCAUUCAGUUUUGAUUAUUAUUAACCCUAUUCAAUAUUUCUCUAACCUAAUCGUGUAACAUAUAUAUUAUGACUUUCUUCUUCUUCACCAAACUCCAGCCACCAUCUUUAUUAAUUGUGCCAGAGAGCACUUAACCAUGAGGGCACCAUCUCCUUCUCCUCUUCUUGUUUCUUCUUCCUUGUUCUCGAACGGUGGAGCCAUCAUCAUCAUUUCACCGUCUCCUCUCGCUGAUAAACACUGGAGUUCAUCAACGCUCACCAUCCCCACCACCAACCACCACGAUCGGAGCCACCGUUUCAAUCUGACCAGCCGUGAUCCUCAACCGUGAGUCACCGGAGAGGGCCAUGCACUUUUGUGGCUGAGAUCCGCAACUAUGAUUACAGGCCGUGAAGGUUAACCAAAGAUUAUAUGGAUUUCUUGUGUCGCAAGUUUCUUAAACCCUAGACUAAUUAUAUUUUAAUCAUGUCUCAUUGUUUUGUCUCUAUUCUUUUCCAAUCUGGUGUGUCGUUUGACAAGAUCGAGAUCCAUGGCGAAACCCUAGUUUUAUUGUUGAUCGUGUCAUCUCGUCUAUUGUCGGAUCUCUUAUGGUUUUCCGAUAUGGCUAAGGUGAACAUGACGAGUAGUUAGAUAUGUGGACGGAUUGGUGUCCUGGGAUCGUUGUAUUUUAUUUUGGUUUUAAUUAACUUUUCGAUUUAAUGUAUUUGGUUUUAAGUUACAAACUUGUUUUAUUUGGAAAUUAUUUGAUUAAAAGGUUUGACAUUUUAUUCGGUUUUAUAAAUCAGUUUAAUUUGGUAUUUUUCGGUUUGUAGCACACCGUUCCCGAGAGAGGAUGAGAGGGGUGUCACAAUUUUAUUAAGCUUUUCUGUAAAACUUAGUUGGCUCGAAAAGCUGUUGGUAAAGUCAUUAUGUUUCGAGGAAAUGUUCUCGGAUAAUUUUGUCCGCAGUAUCGUCGUUAAGACAAGGUCGCGUAUCUGGAUUUAUUCUUUAUAAAUUUGUUGGUUUGGUCAUCUUGAGACAUAUUUCGUCAUAUUAAAGAAAAUUUAGUUGUUGAUGUUGA